RNAcentral lists this long non-coding RNA (4359 nucleotides) under Ananas comosus (pineapple). RNAcentral describes it as "long non-coding RNA (ACOM_LNC000988)". Lineage: Eukaryota; Viridiplantae; Streptophyta; Magnoliopsida; Poales; Bromeliaceae. The record is from RNAcentral.
AAAUAAGAGACGGUCUUUUUUGGAUUCCAAAUUAGUGUAUUUAUUUAUAAAAAUAAAUAAAAUAAAAUAAAUAGAAAUAAAGUGAAAAAAUAAAAAUCCAAAUUAGUGUAUUUAUAAAUAAAUAAAUAAAUAUAAAUAAAGUAAAAAAAUAUAAAAAAAAGAUAUAAAGUGUGAGAGAGAGAGAGUGAGAGAGACAAUUAAAAAAAAAAGGAUAAUUGCCUAUAUACCCCUCAUACGUUUGAAAAUAUUCGAUUUACCUCUACUAUUUUUUUUCUUUCUAAAAUACCCCUCAUAUGUUCCACCGUUAUUGCAAAAUACCCCCGCAGUUAUCUCCUAUUAAGUUAACUUGGGUUAAACUUGAGUUAAAUAUUUACCACAGUUAAAAAAAAUUAAAAUGCCAAUUUUGCCCUUAACUUAAGGGCAAAUAAGAAAUGUUACUGACGGUAGACCAAAAGUCAAAAUAUUUUUUGUGCCCCUGACUUUAAGGGCAAAUAAGAAAGACAGUGAUGGUGGAAGGGUAUAUUCGAAUGGGCAAAAUAGUAAUUUUACAGAGAUAACAGAGUUAAUUAACAAAUUUUAACUCUAAAAGUAUAUUAGAAAUAGGUUGGAACGUAGAAAGGAUAUUUUCAAUAUUAGCCUUCUAAGAGGAGUAAAUCGGAAAGUCAAAAACUUUUCAGGAGUAUAUAAGCAAUUGCCCCUAAAAAAAAAUGGACUCGACAGGCCCCCAAACUCAGGGAGGCCUCUAUAUGGUUGCCAAUUUAUACUCUCACUCUCUCUCUCACACACACACCCUACAACUUUUCUUUUUUUAUUCUUUUUCUCUCAAUAUUUUUUUUAUUUUUAUCUCCACUAGGUGUAAAAUUUUAUCGCUUAGAUCAACCCUAUUUUCUAAUAGUCAAUAUAACAAAAUUAAAAUUUCAUCAAAUAGAUAUAAUUUAUAAUUAAUAAAAAAUUUAUAUAUAAAAAUUAAUAGAUUUUACCUUUAUAAUAAAAUUUUAUAAAUAUGGUGUAAAAAAAUUGUAAACUGAGUGUAUAAGACAUGUUCACAUAUUGUAUAAGAUAAAUUUUAACUUUAACAAGAUNUUUGACUUAGGAGAAAACCAGCGAUUUUAACCCGUCAUAUGCUUAAACUACCUAAUUUAGCUAUAGGAGCCGUGGUUUGUUUGUAUUACUGCAAUUUUAGAGUAGUGGAUACCCAGGGUAGUUUAGAAUGCAUUUACGCUCGUACUGGGAUGCCGAGCUUAUUUUUACAGCAGUGUCUAGGCUGUUUCGGACUGUCGGGUGCCGUCAGGGUUGACGGUGGACCCAAAUUCCUGUUUUUGUCUCAGAUUGUGCCGAGGGCACGUGAGUGUUGGUUGUUAGACCUGUGUACUUGACUUUAGCCUGUGAGAGCCUUAUUGAGCUCGACAGAGACAUGCUUGCAUACUCGGUUGAAUAGCGCCCACGAGUGCCACUCCGGAGUCGGGGUUUGUGCGUUUGCGUUGGUAUCGUUAUGUCCUGGUUGGACUUGCUCUCCACAGACUGCUUAGUGGUGGAGGUAGCUUUAGCUUUGGCAGGCGGGACGGGUGUGUUCACAGUCCCUAGUGAGAUUGGAUCAAAAUUUAUAUUUUUCUACAGAUUGUUAGUGUUAUAGCAUGAUAAUAUAGUGGCAUUUAGCUGUAGAUUUGUUCCAGCUUUUCUUAUUAUCCCUGCUUACUUCUGUAGACUUGGUGGGUGAACCGAUGAGAUGAGGGCGGUACCCACUGAGGACUACUCCUUUUUGUACUAGUUCUCACGCCCAGUUGUUACCCCUGUUUUUGCAGAGCCCUCGUCUUCAACUGCUGCUGUUGUUGAUUCGGAUCGUGGCAAGAGCGUCGCGAGUUAGAGCCCUCCCAAACGAGCCAGAGCUAGAGGAGUACCAGCUACAGAUAGUUGUAGUUUUUGGUUCUUUACAUACUGAUAUUUUACCUCGCUGGAGCGAGUAAUUUUGUACCAGGAUGAUAUGUAUGUAUUGAACCACUGUUUUACAUAUGGUUUAUUUUCCUAGCAGCUCUAUACUACUUUUUGUCGUGUUGUAUGAUUACAGAUAUUGUUACUAUUUCGCUUCGUAUACUAGAGAAAUUCCUGUGUAUACGGCGGGUCUGGUUGCNAAUAAAAUUUUAUAAAUAUGGUGUAAAAAAAUUGUAAACUGAGUGUAUAAGACAUGUUCACAUAUUGUAUAAGAUAAAUUUUAACUUUAACAAGAUGAAACUAUCUAAUAUAAGGCUUAGUUUGGUAUUUAGGCCUAUCUAACGUCAUUGGAUAAAAUGGAGUUGAGGUAAAAAUAUAUAGGAAUAUACUUCUGCAUCCUCUGGUGGGACCGCAAAAAAUAUAUCAUAACAGACUAAUCGUGAUAUGCAGAACUGAAUAUUACAUACAAAAACAAAUAGAGUAUUUUCUCAAUGUACUUUCUCACCGCACAUAAUGCAAUUUUACUACAAUCCCAAACAAAAUGUAAGUCAUCGAACUUUAGUUUUUUAGUUAAAAAUUUAUUUAUAUAUAUAUUUUUUGUUUUUGCCUAUUUUGUAAUGUCCCUAGGGUUUAGUUGACGAAAUGACUACAGUAUUAAUGACUAGUUGACACAUUUGUAGAGUGUCGGAACGAGUCGGAGUCAUUUUAGUACGAAAUAGAUACGAAAACGGACUCGACGCAUUCAAAUAAGCCAAAACUGAAGUUCUGGCAGUUUAGGGCGUCCAAAAAUGGUUUAGGGCUCCCAGAUCCCGAGUGCUGUUUUAUAUUAGAUGCUGAAGUCAUUUCGGACCCUGUUUAGGGUGCCCGGAAGUUGGGCCCAGAAGUUCACUUCGUAAAUAUCAAUCCUUUUGACAUGUGGGUGUGGUAGGUGAGAUCCGCUGGACCGUUUUAGGGCACACUAGACCGCCGGACGGAGAACCCGAGGAAUGAGUUGUGUAGGCUGAAAGUUCUGGGCGCCCAGAACUGGGUUUAGGGUGCCCGAAUAUUGGAUUUCCUGCAGCAGUACAGGUUAGCACAUGUUGUUCUUGAGGCUUAUUGCACCUAACCCCUACUUCUAUGAAAGGAUUUGGACGACCCCUUUGAACCCUUUUCCCUUUUGUUUCACAAGGAACCGUGAAUUUUUGCAAAUAACCCCCUCCAAUCUCUCUCAACUCCACUUUUGGACCUUGGUAGCUUAUAAUUCUAUAGAAAUCCAGCAGCGAUCUUUGGAGUUUUGACUCGUGUGCGGUCUAAGAGCAUUCGAAUUCUGUGAAACUUGAUUUGGAGGAUUGUGAACUCAUGGGAGAGUGUGUGAAGCCAAUUUAACAGCAAGUAAUUGAGGUUAGUAUGAUCAAAUUGCUAUUUUCUUAGGAUUUUGGUAUUCUUGAGCUGAAAUUGAGGUUUUCUUCGUGUUUAUGGAUCCGUAUACCUUGAGAGCUGGAUUUUUGAUGUGGGAAUUGGUUUUCCAUCAUCCUCUACUGUUUUAGAAACUUUUUCCACCUGAAUUCGAGAUUUGAGAGGUGAGUUUUAACUCAAAUUCGGAUAAUUGAGCUUAUAUAUGUUGAUUUUUGAGGUUUUGAUACAAAAUCUUGGAUUUUUGAAUCUAGAUUUUAAUAGAGUGCCUAUUACUGGUUAUGAAGUGAUCCUCCAUUCAUUCAUGAGGUUUUAGACCCUUCUCUACAGGAAUUCGAAGUAGAAAUUCUCAGCUUUGAGCUGAGUUGCAUUUUUGCUUAAGUGCUGAAGUUCUGGAUGCAGGUUCUGGGCAUCCAGAUGUUAGAUCCGAAAUAGUGUGAAGGCUUUUUGGUGAUCAUUUCGAGCUCAAAUUUGGUGAGGAACCUGAGGAGUUGCUUUUUAGCCUUGUGAGGUGAGUUGGGUGAAGUUUCACUACAUUUGGACUUGGAAAUCCUACACUAUUUAAUUUGAGAGAACAUUCGAUCCACGUGGCGUUAAGAGGAUGUCCUUGUAAUAUACCAGAUUUUAAUGUAGAAGUAAAUAUAAAUAAAAAUAGUGUGAGAUACUAUUUUUAUUGGACUUAAAGAAGUAAAAUAUAAGUCGGAAACGACUUGUGCUGAAAUCGGAACGAAAACAGAAAAUUUAGAAUUUUCUGUAAGAAAUAUAGCUGAUAUUUUAGCAGAAAAUUCAUAGUGUCAGAAAAUUAUGAAAACUGACGAAUAUGUCGGAAUUAUUUUUAUGAGGCUAGAUUUAAAGUUUCAUGUCAUUCUGACACUCGGAAAGUGAAAAAUAAAAUCCGACUGCUAUCUGCUAGAGAUUUCAGUUCGGUAGAGCUUUCGGGGACAAAAAAUGGUCGGAACUGAAAGAUUAAAAUUUUUUUGUUCUUAUAAAGUUAAACCGAGUUUGACUGUCAAAUUUGAUCACAAACGGACAUUCAGA